AGGUUCCCAGAAAAUGUCCUAUAACCAGGACGCGUUUCGGCAUGCAAGCCUUUCUCAACAGGUACCUUAGGUCCACCACAGGUGUUUCCCAGAGGAUUUGGAGAUGGUGGAGGUCUCUGCAGAGGAGGAUGGAGAGCAGACGGGACCCUCCGGGCAGCAGAAUGCCCCCCCCCCCACCUGAUGUGGGCCAAGUAGUGGAGGUCACAGCUGAAGAAGACGGACCCUCCUAGCCUCCGGAUUCCCCCACCCCAGGUCAAGAUGAUGAAGAGGAGGUCUUCACCACCCCCCGCCAGGAGGGUUAAUACUUACUCAUUAAAUUUAAAACCCUGCUAAACAAGAUGCAGCAGGAGAAGAAAAAAAAAUGCAGGAGAUCCGGGAGCAGCAGCGGCAGCUGGAAAAUAAGGUGAAGGAGAUCCAUGCGCAGCAGCAGAAGCUUGCACUGAAGGUGCAGCAGUUUGAUGCACUGCAACUAAGGCCUCAUGCACACGACAGCUUUUUUU
Long non-coding RNA from Bufo gargarizans (Asiatic toad), 500 nucleotides. RefSeq lists it as uncharacterized. Lineage: Eukaryota; Metazoa; Chordata; Amphibia; Anura; Bufonidae. The record is from RefSeq and is a predicted model, not a curated record. The transcript is spliced from 3 exons.